Molecule: ribosomal RNA, 301 nt
Filed under: uncultured bacterium
Lineage: Bacteria
Description: partial 16S ribosomal RNA
Rfam family: Bacterial small subunit ribosomal RNA
Source: RNAcentral
CAGUCGCCACGGUAAUACGUAGGUGGCAAGCGUUGUCCGGAAUUAUUGGGCGUAAAGGGCUCGCAGGCGGUUUCUUAAGUCUGAUAUGAAAGCCCCCGGCUCAACCGGGGAGGGUCAUUGGAAACUGGGAAACUUGAGUGCAGAAGAGGAGAGCGGAAUUCCACGUGUAGCGGUGAAAUGCGUAGAGAUGUGGAGGAACACCAGUGGCGAAGGCGACUCUCUGGUCUGUAACUGACGCUGAGGAGCGAAAGCGUGGGGAGCGAACAGGAUUAGAUACCCGGGUAGUCCCUGUCUCUUAUAA